Long non-coding RNA from Callithrix jacchus (white-tufted-ear marmoset), 1104 nucleotides. RefSeq lists it as uncharacterized. The record is from RefSeq and is a predicted model, not a curated record. NCBI's taxonomy places the organism in Eukaryota, Metazoa, Chordata, Mammalia, Primates, Cebidae.
CUCUCCCUUUGGCUGCUUGGGCCCACUGAGCAUGCUCUGAAGACUUGAUCUGUGCCUAGUGUAUGGGCAGCUUCCCUCCCACUCCCCAAUGCUGGGGUAUUUUUUUAGUACAUCUGAGAAACAUCAUGGGAUAGUGGAAAAAGCAGGAGCUUUGGAAUUACACCGGUAUUUGAACCCCUGCUCUACUACUGAUGAUCCAUGUGACUUUGGAAAACCCUUGCCAGAUGCAGCCUCCUCGACCUUGGACUUUCCAGCCUCCAGAACGACGAGGGAACCAAAAUUCAGAGAGGUUCAAGGUCGUACAGCACCUGCUCUUCCCACUGCCCAGUGAAGCACUACUCAGUCAUACUAGACACAAAGGGGUUGGUCUAUGGGAGGGAGUACCAGGAAGCACGAGGAGCCUACACUUCUAUGGAGAGUUGAGAUGCCUUCACAAAAAUGCCUAAUGGUGCAAGGUCAUGAAUGCCAAGUGCUCUAGUGUUUUGGAGGUGGAUGAGAUCCCUACAGAUGAGGCACCAGGAACAUCUUCAAGGUGGAGGUGGUUUGUGAGGCUGGAAGAGGAGUUGAAACUUGUGUGUAAUUAUUGUGUGGUGUAUUUGCAUUCCUAAUUGCGGUGGGGGACACCUAGGGCCAAGCUGUCAGUCUCUGGGCUGUCUUUCACCUGCGCCGCGGUGCUGAGCUGUUGGCGGCGGCGGCAGCGUCUUUUCUCCAAGCAGCACCUGUGAGAGCGGCGGCUCCAGCUGGAGCCCCAAGACUUCCAAUCAACACAGAGAGCCACAGGGCCUGUGCUGCGCGAGUUUGCUAUGAGGAGCCUGCAACGCAUCGAGGAGCCCGGCGCCCGACCCACACCUGGCAUUGGCUGGGUGCUCAAUAAAUGCUGGCUGACCACGGCUGAAUGAAUCCUCACCUCGCUUAUCUGACCCAAGCACCGGGCAGGCGCACUGUGGGCUGGCAGCACGGGUUCCUGAUGGAAGGACUCUUGGAUUUGCUCCACAGGUGACUGUGCAUCCAUCUGGAAACGGAGCGUCUGUGCACGGAAUCCAUUUCCUCUUCUAACUUCUGAAUUGCUUUAGAUGCUUCUGACUUCUGAACCCCUUUAGAUGC